GUGCUCGCUUCGGCAGCACAUAUACUAAAAUUGGAAUGAUACAGAGAAGAUUAGCAUGGCCCCUGCGCAAGGAUGACACACAAAUUCGUAAUUUCCAUCAGUCUGAA
Molecule: small nuclear RNA, 107 nt
Filed under: Suricata suricatta (meerkat)
Lineage: Eukaryota; Metazoa; Chordata; Mammalia; Carnivora; Herpestidae
Source: RNAcentral